Molecule: long non-coding RNA, 183 nt
Organism: Arachis duranensis
Lineage: Eukaryota; Viridiplantae; Streptophyta; Magnoliopsida; Fabales; Fabaceae
Exons: 3
Source: RefSeq, a predicted model, not a curated record
AGCUCUUCAAUUCUAUCCAAACAAAACAGGGUCCACUAGACUUGAUUUCUUGUGGGUAUUGCCCAAGGAUCAGUGGGUAAAGGUAGUGUGUAUGUGAAUGUUGAUGCUUGUUGGAGGCUUGUUGGUGAUCAAGCUUGGUUUGGGGCUGUUUGUUUGAAUUUGGAGGGGCUGUAAUUUUGAGUU